RNA transcript from Bombus huntii, 7414 nucleotides. It is a transcript of the gene named calcium-transporting ATPase sarcoplasmic/endoplasmic reticulum type, with no coding region annotated. NCBI's taxonomy places the organism in Eukaryota, Metazoa, Arthropoda, Insecta, Hymenoptera, Apidae. The record is from RefSeq and is a predicted model, not a curated record. The transcript has 14 exons.
AUUUCGGCGAGGUUCGUCGCUUCGUUUCGUUGAGCAGCGCAGGCGUUGCCCUUUGAAUGUUUGUUUGUUUUCGCCCUCGACCACCCUUCAUGUAAAGAGGAAAGCAGAGGAACCAGAGGAAAGCGCGCGUUCUCACGGUACGAUGUUCAGGGAGGAGUAGCGAGUCUGUAAUCGGGAUCGUCGCAUCAACGGGCAGAGACAGGCCUCGCAAAAGUUCGUCGCAGUGUGACACACUCGCCGCCUUCUCUUUCGCUUACUUUACCUGUUUCCACGGUACUCUUCUGCGCAUUGUCCGUCGUACAACGCGAGAGAAACGCGCGGCCGAUCGUAGAAUCGCAAAGUGCGACCGGGACCCAGCCGCACCGGUGCCGGUUUCCUUCGAGAAAUCGAUUCGGUGAGGAAACAACAGCCCGGAGCCAAGCACAAGAAGACGAAGCAUUGAAAAUUGCAGUGUGAAUGAACGUGGACAGUCACUGAACAGAUAAAAUUAGUGACUAAUACAGAAGUAACCAUGGAGGACGGUCAUUGUAAAACAGUGGACGAGGUGGUAAAUUUCUUUAAUGUCGAUUCUGACAAAGGAUUAUCUCUUGACCAAGUUAAGAGGAACCAGGAAAAAUAUGGUCUCAAUGAAUUGCCAGCCGAGGAGGGAAAGUCCAUAUGGCAACUCGUGUUGGAGCAAUUCGACGACCUUCUAGUUAAGAUUCUUCUAUUAGCCGCUAUUAUUUCUUUUGUAUUAGCUUUAUUUGAGGAGCACGAGGAUGCGUUCACGGCCUUCGUCGAGCCCUUCGUCAUUUUGCUCAUUCUUAUUGCCAACGCCGUGGUCGGUGUGUGGCAAGAACGUAAUGCCGAGUCUGCGAUCGAAGCGUUGAAAGAGUACGAGCCUGAGAUGGGCAAAGUCCUGCGAAUGGACAAAGCCGGCGUGCAGAGGAUUCGUGCCAAGGAGAUCGUGCCCGGCGACAUCGUAGAAGUGUCCGUCGGUGACAAGAUCCCGGCCGAUAUCCGUCUAACCAAGAUCUUCUCGACUACCCUCAGGAUCGAUCAGUCUAUCCUGACCGGUGAAUCUGUCUCGGUGAUCAAGCAUACGGAUCCUGUGCCUGAUCCACGUGCCGUCAAUCAGGACAAGAAGAACAUCUUGUUCUCUGGUACUAACGUAGCCGCGGGUAAGGCUCGCGGUGUCGUCAUUGGAACUGGACUGAACACCGCCAUUGGUAAGAUCCGUACCGAGAUGUCCGAGACCGAGGAGAUCAAAACGCCUCUGCAACAGAAACUGGACGAGUUUGGCGAACAAUUAUCGAAGGUUAUCUCCGUGAUCUGCGUGGCUGUCUGGGCUAUCAACAUUGGCCACUUUAACGAUCCCGCUCAUGGUGGAUCCUGGAUCAAGGGAGCCAUCUACUACUUCAAGAUCGCCGUUGCCCUGGCCGUAGCCGCCAUUCCCGAAGGUUUGCCGGCUGUAAUUACCACUUGCUUGGCUUUGGGUACCCGUCGUAUGGCGAAGAAGAACGCCAUCGUGCGAUCCUUGCCAUCCGUCGAGACCUUAGGUUGUACCUCUGUCAUCUGUUCGGACAAGACUGGUACCUUGACCACCAACCAGAUGUCUGUUAGCCGAAUGUUCAUCUUCGAUAAGAUCGAGGGCAACGACAGCAGCUUCCACGAAUUCGAGAUCACUGGUUCGACCUACGAACCAGUUGGUGAGAUUUUCUUGAGAGGCAAGAAGAUUCGUGGUCAGGACUACGAAACUCUUCACGAAGUCGGUACGAUCUGUAUCAUGUGCAACGACUCCGCUAUCGAUUUCAACGAAUUCAAACAAGCAUUCGAGAAGGUCGGCGAGGCAACAGAGACUGCUCUUAUCGUUCUUGCGGAGAAGAUCAAUCCGUACGGUGUCUCUAAGAGCGGAUUGGAUAGGCGUAACACGGCCAUCGCUGCUAGACAAGACAUGGAGACGAAAUGGAAGAAAGAAUUCACUCUGGAGUUCUCUCGCGAUCGUAAAUCUAUGUCUUCUUACUGUACACCCUUGAAACCAACUAAAUUGGGUACUGGACCGAAAUUGUUCGUUAAGGGCGCCCCAGAAGGUGUUUUGGACAGGUGCACGCACGCUCGUGUUGGAUCUACCAAGGUUCCUCUUACAUCUACUCUGAAAAAUCGUAUAUUGGAUCUGACUCGCCAAUAUGGUACUGGCCGAGACACUCUGCGUUGUCUGGCUCUUGCCACUGCUGAUCACCCAAUGAAACCCGACGAUAUGGAUCUUGAUGACUCCACGAAGUUCUACACGUACGAAAAGGACCUCACCUUCAUCGGUGUCGUUGGUAUGCUUGACCCACCUCGCAAGGAAGUAUUUGACUCGAUUGCCAGGUGUCGUGCCGCUGGUAUUCGUGUUAUUGUCAUUACUGGCGACAACAAGGCUACUGCUGAAGCCAUCUGUAGACGUAUCGGUGUCUUCGGUGAAGAUGAAGAUACGACCGGAAAGUCGUACUCUGGACGUGAAUUCGAUGAUCUUCCUUCGUCGGAACAGAAGGCUGCCUGCGCCAGAGCUCGUCUGUUCUCUCGUGUAGAACCCGCUCACAAAUCCAAGAUCGUUGAGUUCUUACAAAGCAUGAAUGAAAUUUCGGCUAUGACUGGUGAUGGUGUAAAUGAUGCGCCUGCUCUGAAAAAAGCCGAGAUUGGUAUUGCUAUGGGUUCUGGUACCGCUGUCGCGAAAUCUGCCUCUGAGAUGGUAUUAGCUGACGAUAACUUCUCUUCCAUUGUCGCCGCUGUUGAGGAAGGUCGUGCCAUCUAUAACAACAUGAAACAGUUCAUUCGUUAUCUGAUUUCUUCCAAUAUUGGUGAAGUCGUAAGUAUAUUCUUGACUGCCGCCCUUGGUCUUCCCGAAGCUCUGAUCCCUGUACAACUUUUGUGGGUCAACUUGGUAACUGACGGUCUUCCAGCUACUGCACUCGGUUUUAAUCCACCUGAUUUGGACAUUAUGAGCAAGCCUCCUCGUAAAGCCGACGAAUCUCUCAUCUCUGGUUGGUUGUUCUUCCGCUAUAUGGCUAUUGGUGGAUAUGUAGGUGCUGCGACUGUUGGAUCAGCCGCGUGGUGGUUCAUGUACAGUCCGCAUGGACCACAGAUGAGCUAUUAUCAAUUGACUCAUCACUUGGCGUGCUUGGGUGGUGGCGAUGAAUUCAAAGGCGUUAAUUGCAAGAUCUUCACAGAUCCUCAUCCCAUGACGAUGGCUCUGUCUGUACUCGUAACCAUUGAAAUGUUGAAUGCUAUGAACAGUUUAUCUGAGAAUCAGUCUCUCGUCACUAUGCCGCCCUGGUCUAACAUGUGGCUCAUUGCCUCUAUGGCUCUUUCUUUCACACUCCACUUUGUCAUCCUUUACAUCGACGUCCUUUCGUCUGUAUUCCAAGUUACUCCUCUAACGGGCGAGGAGUGGGUUACCGUUAUGAAGUUCUCCAUUCCAGUGGUACUUCUCGACGAAACUCUUAAGUUCAUUGCCAGAAAGUUCGCAGAUGGUGAGAAUCCAAUUGACUCAGUGCUUUGGAUCGUUCUAAUGUGGGCUGUGUUCUUUGGACUAUUAAGUAUUUGUCCCAUAUAGAACGUCCGUGAAAACAAACAUUUAGUCUAACAGACAGUGUUUUUCCUAUGGAAAACAUUUUGCAACUGAGUUCUCGGACUUGCAAUUGCAUUUAAACAAAAACCGAAGUUCUUCCCCGUUGCCCGGGAAGCCUCGAAGAUAAGUUAUUAAUUGAAUGGCACCGCCUGUGACGCCGCCGAAAUAAAGCUCGGGAACCGCGAUAGGACGAAAAUCGCCAGCAGUCCGGACACAGAGAAAAAGAUCGUCAGAAUGGCACUUAAACAACACCCACCCAAGCAACAACAACCCGCAAGCUGACCGAUGGGAUCGAGCCGAAAACAGAGAUCUUAUGAAAUACCAUCGACACGUUAUACACCGACACACGCAUAUGUACACACAUACAUACACCAACCACACACACAAUGCUAUACAGUCGUAUACAUAUAGAGAAAGAGCGGACAAAACGGAAACUACGAAACGACGGGGCGCGUUCUUCGCUUUCGUUGAACGAAACGAUUCUGUAUCAUUGGUAGAACGAGUAUGGCGAGUUUCGAGGAAAUUUCAUAGCAAGCGUAGACGAGGUGCGAGUGCCUGGGUUUGGGUGUUAAUUUCGUUGGCUGUUCUCUCGGUGCGUUGACACGUUUGCCAUCGGUGGUUUUCUGUGUUGCUCGCCUUCCCCCGUUUUCAAUGAAAAAGACGCUAAUUAAAUAUGUAAUAAAGGAAAAGACAAGAUGUAUAUCGUUGAACGUGUCGAUAUUUCAACAGUUUAGCAGUCCGAUAAGAAGUUUACAAAUUGUAUAUUAAUAAAAUAUGUUUGAAAUAUGUCUUCUAUCUAUAGACAACAAAAAAACUGAUCGAACACUUCGCUAUACUCGUUCCACCGAUUAUGCUCAAUAUAGUGACCGCGCCCUAAUAGAGGGGUGUUUAGAGACAGACAGACAGAGAGGGAGAAAGAAAGAGAGAGAGAGAGAGAGAAAGAGAGGAGAAGGAAAAAUUCACAUUCGAAAAGACAAAGGGGGUACUCGUCAUUCACGGCGGUGCGAAAAAUGAUCGAGGAAGUUCGAGGCAAAGAAAGAACGAAAACAAAGAAAAGAAGAGAUACGAUCGAUCACAGCUUCAGGCUCGGGCUUCGAGAAUCCAGAAAAAGGACUCGAGUUCUCGAGGCAGUUGCAGGCAAAGAGAUACAAACGAACGUCCAAUCGGAACAGCUUGCCAAGUUUGUCACGGUUGAUCCGCACGACAGAUCGAAGGAUCGACGAGCAAGUUGAAAAGCCUUCGCGACGCGGUGUAGGAAAGAAUCGAACUAAUCGAUGUGUGCCUGUGUUAUUAUGUUGCAGCAAACGAAGCGGUUGUCGACAAGUGGGCCUAGGCUUGUCUCGUCGUGCUCCGUCGGCAACAGAAUUCCUCUGCCAAGCACGAACCAAAAAACAAUCCAUACACGCGUGUACACACACAUAUACCAAAAAAAAAAUCAAUAUUAAUAACGAUAAUAUAACACUGUAACGAAAAACUAGGUGAAAAGGAGACACGGAAUAGAAGCAGGCACGGCCGAAAGCGAAGACACGAAAUAGUGGAACCGGUGGAAGCGGAGAGGAACCAGACUGGAGUCGUGCGAGAAAUUCCAAAAUUCCAACACUUUCAGGGAAAGUCGAAAGAAAUUCCAGAGGAAUUCGCGCGAACGUUACGACGAUGUGAUAAUCACGAGUGAGAACGAAAGAUAAAUGAAAGAUCGAAUGAUGUUUGGGUAGAGACACGACCUGCUGUAACGUUAGAGCGGCUGGACUGCGUCGGUAAUGCAGGGAGGAGCUGAGAUAGAUCGCUCUCUAUUAUCAUUUUACACCUACUCCGAUUUCCUGGCUGACUACCGUGUCACGCACUGCCGCUGCUUUUCCGUUUCAUCGUCUACUGGUCCUGGCAGGGAUUUUGUUCGCGUGUUUCCUAUUCUUUGUACAGGGAAUGUAUAUGUACAUAAUAUAUCGUGUCGUCGGUGAAGCCGAAACGCCGCGAAGAGUAAAUGAAGAGAUUGAAAAUCGUGGUUUCUGAUGAAGAGUAGAUAAAAAAAAUGAAUGGAAAGGGGGAAAAAAUCUUUUUAUGUUUUAUCUAGAGCAAUACGCUGAUUUAAAUCUUUCGACCGACAGUAUGGUUGUUUCUUUUUUUUUUAGAGUCGCGUAACGAUCGAAUGGUAUAACCAUCGACUUCUCGUUAUCAUUAAUUCUAUAACUUCUUUAACGUCGGUAGAAUUUAUUGUAGUGUUAGCUGGUAGAGUUUUUUAUCUUUAAAGAAGCUAUGUUUUCUUCGAUUAAUUAGCAAACUAACUGCAGAAUUAUUGAUAUCUUUCUUUUUUUAAACUGAGUAAGGAACUUAUUACCGGAUCCAUUUAUUUCACAUUUCUAGCUCAUUCUCUUUACGAACAACUUUCUUCUUUUCCUUUUCUUCUUCUUUCUCUCUUCUUCUGGCUUCUUUUUUUCUUCUAUCCAUUCCUUCUUCUUUCUCGAUCCUUUUUCUCUCUGUCUCUCUUUCUCUGUCUCUCUUUCUCUCUCUCUCUUUCUCUCUCUCUCUCUCUCUCUCUAUCUCUUUCAUAACUUCCACGCGUUUCUUUUCUCUAAUCGUGUCUUCUUAUCGCUAUCCUUAAAGACACUCUAUAUUUUCUACUGAAAAGAGACACACCUGUGCAUCAUCCUGGAAAGACUUUUUCCCUUGAAAUGUAUUCAAGGUUCCUAUCUGAAAAAUACUCCAAUAACCACGAAACGCUCCAACGGACACCGUCGAACGUCUAGCAGAACGCUUGAAACGCGAUGAAACACGCGUUUCCGCGAUGAUGAUCGUCACGAUGAUUCUAGUUCUCAGCCACCGAGGACGUCGUUGUCAACAUCACCGAGUUCACAGUUCUUUCCGCUCCAAUUGUCGUACCUCGAGGAACAUGCUCGAGCGAUUUUCCGCGAGAGACACAGCGAUCGAGGUGAGGAAAACCGGAACGUCGAUCGUCGAAAGUUACAGAAGGGACUUCGUCGUUGAAAAUUCUGUCGAAGCUCGGCUCCAGGAUGGAAUUCGCAAUGGCGUUGGAGGGUAACAAAUAAAGACGAAGGCGACAACCGGUGGCGGAAACGCGGUGGAAAAGCAGUGAGAAUCGACGAUGCGUUACCUCCCUUUUGUCGUUGGAUCGUGUGGUACACGUUUUUAGGACGAGUGAAAGUAAUAAAAAUGGUAUAUCCUGAUCGGUGACGUAACUUUCAACGGAGGCUUCCGGCGUAACGGUCGUCGUUUCCAUUAAAACGACGAUGGAUCGGUGCCACCCACUCGGAGGGUGUAACGAUCGCGGAAGCCUCCUGACGCUCACGAAACUUACGCCACUAGAGAGAAGAAUUUAAGAAGAAUUGUUAAUAAUAACGAUGUUAAAACAUACACAAAACACACACAGAAAAAAAAAGAAGGAAAAAAAUCGAUGAAGCUCGCGAGAUAUAAUUAUUGUACAUAAAAAGAGUAAUGAAAGGAUACGUUGUCACGCGCGAUAUUUAGAGAGAAAUUGAUUAUUAUUAUUAUAUAUAUAUUAUGAUUAAGAGACAUUAAAUAUAUAUAUACAUAUAUUUUUCUUCGUGAAGAAAGCGCACAGACAGUCGCUGACCCGAGCGACCUCUCGGACAAUCGAACGGACGCCUCUCGAGCGAGAAGGAUUCGAAUCGACAGAAACGAAGAAAACCCGGAUCCCCUGUGCUUUUUCUUUCUCAGCUUCGUUUCCUGAUUUUCUUUUUCUUCUUUCGAGUUUAUUUGGUUUAAUAUUAAGAUGGAAUUAACUGCCUGUGAAUAUUUCUGAUUGUUAGGAGAGAAAAAAAAAACAAAGAAAUUAUCUUUCUUUUACCUGGA